GGGCGGGAUGGGCGAGCCUGAUCCAGCCAUGCCGCGUGUGUGAAGAAGGUCUUCGGAUUGUAAAGCACUUUAAGUUGGGAGGAAGGACAGUAAAUUAAUACUUUGCUGUUUUGACGUUACCGACAGAAUAAGCACCGGCUAACUCUGUGCCAGCAGCCGCGGUAAUACAGAGGGUGCAAGCGUUAAUCGGAAUUACUGGGCGUAAAGCGCGCGUAGGUGGUUUGUUAAGUUGAAUGUGAAAUCCCCGGGCUCAACCUGGGAACUGCAUCCAAAACUGGCAAGCUAGAGUAUGGUAGAGGGUAGUGGAAUUUCCUGUGUAGCGGUGAAAUGCGUAGAUAUAGGAAGGAACACCAGUGGCGAAGGCGACUACCUGGACUGAUACUGACACUGAGGUGCGAAAGCGUGGGGAGCAAACAGGAUUAGAUACCGGGGGAAAUUCAAA
This 442-nucleotide ribosomal RNA is filed under the name Pseudomonas helleri. RNAcentral's name for it is "bacterial SSU rRNA". It matches the Rfam family "Bacterial small subunit ribosomal RNA", at positions 366 to 799 of the family's 1533-position model. The record is from RNAcentral. Lineage: Bacteria; Pseudomonadati; Pseudomonadota; Gammaproteobacteria; Pseudomonadales; Pseudomonadaceae.